RNAcentral lists this ribosomal RNA (255 nucleotides) under uncultured bacterium. RNAcentral's name for it is "partial 16S ribosomal RNA". It matches the Rfam family "Bacterial small subunit ribosomal RNA", at positions 524 to 776 of the family's 1533-position model. The record is from RNAcentral.
UACGGGGGGGGGCAAGCGUUGUUCGGAUUUACUGGGCGUAAAGGGCGCGUAGGCGGCAACUCAAGUCAGCUGUGAAAUCUCCGGGCUUAACUCGGAACGGUCAGCUGAUACUGUUUUGCUAGAGUGCGGAAGGGGCAAUCGGAAUUCUCGGUGUAGCGGUGAAAUGCGUAGAUAUCGAGAGGAACACCAGAGGUGAAGACGGGUUGCUGGGCCGACACUGACGCUGACAGCGCGAAAGCCAGGGGAGCAAACGGG